CAUUUAGGUUGAUCCUCGCUGAAUCUGAAAACUAAACAGGUCAGGCUUAGUUAGUACUUGAAUGGGAGACCAUCAAAAAUAUCAAGGCCUAAAGGC
This 96-nucleotide ribosomal RNA is filed under the name Salvator merianae (Argentine black and white tegu). The record is from RNAcentral. Lineage: Eukaryota; Metazoa; Chordata; Lepidosauria; Squamata; Teiidae.